RNAcentral lists this long non-coding RNA (468 nucleotides) under Pan troglodytes (chimpanzee). RNAcentral's name for it is "lincRNA". The record is from RNAcentral. Lineage: Eukaryota; Metazoa; Chordata; Mammalia; Primates; Hominidae.
AUCUGUAAGAUGGGGAAGUGUAAUCAGUUCUGAACCCACAUAUACCUCACUGGGCUUGAACAGGCCUGAGUAGGCAUGUGGGGCUUUACUAGCUAGCCAUCCUUUCUGCCGCUCUCCCUCAUUCUCCUUCAAGCCCCCCAAAAUCCUUGGUGGAGGAGGAAGUGGAGACAGAACGUUUGGUGUUGGGUGAGGUACGUGAGGAGGCUGAUUUCAGAACCUCCAGGAAACAAAGCUUUAGUGUUCCGAGGGCAGUGCCCGCCUGUGCCUCCUCCUCACAGGGGGCAGUAGGAGUAGGGUGGGGCCGAGGCAUUUCCCAGCACAGCUCAAUCACAUCUCCUGCACCUGCCCUUGUGACCUGCUCACUGGAAAGGGAAGAAAUGACCCAGGGAGAAGGGAGGGCAUUUGAGGUAUUUUUCCCUCUCCAGCCUGGUCUUCUCCUGUAGCGCGUGGCCGCCUUUUCCAGCACGG